This 2613-nucleotide long non-coding RNA is filed under the name Canis lupus familiaris (dog). RNAcentral's name for it is "lncRNA (ENSCAFG00845012589.1)". The stretch from base 670 to 797 matches the Rfam family "Pvt1 oncogene conserved region 5". Lineage: Eukaryota; Metazoa; Chordata; Mammalia; Carnivora; Canidae. The record is from RNAcentral.
GGCGGCGGGCGGAGGGGCGCGCGGGGCCCGAGGACGCACGCGGCCGGCGGGGGGCGCGCUCCCCCCCCCCCUCCCCUCCCCUCCCUCCCUCCCCUCCCCCGCCCUGACGUCACGGGCCGCCCGCCAGCCCCGCGCUCGGGCGGGCAGAGCGCGUGCGGCCGCCGAGCACAUGGGCCCGCGGGCCGGGCGCGCUCGGGGCGGGCGGGGGGCCGCGCGCAGCCUCGGGCCCCCGCGCCCCCCGCGCCCCCGGGCGCAUUUCCACGCCGAGAGCGCGUCGGCAGCCCCGGCGACCUGCACACGCACGGCGGGACCCACCUUCCAGCCUGAUCUUUUGACCAGAAAGGGAUUAAAAAGUUGCCCAUCCUGAUGGCUGUGCCUGCCGGUUGCAUGGAGCCUCAUUCAGGAUUUCCUGAGCCUCUUGGAUUUACAGUGAUACUCAGCUGCGGGGAGUGGAGGAAGCAUUCUCUGGAAUCACAGACGGCACACGUCUGGAUGCUAAUGAUGGUUUUACGGAUGGCCCCGGCUGAGUGCUUGGCAGAUCCCUGCAGCCUGGAUGCCUGUGGGGUCAGAGGACCGCGGCUUCCUGGGACGGCGGAGGUCUCUGCCCUUAUCUUCAUGCAAAUGUUCAGUUGGGUUGCUGCUAGCCUCACUGAGGGCGCCCCGUGAAACAAUCCUGUCAUACCUCGGAUUUUGGUGCCUUCAGUCUGAAAAAUACACACAUCCAUUUGGUACCCUAGAGGAACUGGAGAAUUGUCUUCCCCUGAAUGAAGCUGGACCAUUCUGGGAUUUGGAGAAAGGGCACUGGCACCCUGGGAGCUGGAGAGAUGCAGCUGGAAGAGCCCGCGCCCGGGGCACGAGGGGUCCCAUGCCAUGUCACGGGCUUGUCCCCAGCUGCCACCGUGCUGAUGGCUUGGCCGCCACUGCUGCUUACUGAGCACACCCGCGUGGGCCCUCGCUGCUGUGCCUUCUGUCGAGGCUCCGGCUCUCUCAUCCCUGAGGGACCCCGGCAUCCCACCUACCCAGGCUCACCAAGACAGGGCCCAUCACCGGUCCUCCGCACUCCUGAGUGUCGCACAGAGCGGGGGUCAGGCCACCUUAGGUUGUUGGGCUAUGGUUUUUGCAGAGUCCUGAGCUCCUGUGAAGAUCUGCUUCUCUCCAGCCUUGGGCUAUCUGCAUUCUUGAACAUCUCCGGGCCCAGAAGGAAAAGAAGAAUGCUGAGCAGCUCAGGGAAUGGCUUGAAUGAAAAGAGGAGACUAGAAGACACUUGACAGAGGUAACACUGACCCAGAGAGAAUUGAACUUGUGCCCAGUGACUAGAAGACACAUGAAGCUGGAAAAAGGAGCCUAGAAGACCGCCAUGUUUCCCCCCUAGAGGGGAACGCCCACCCACUCCCACCCCUCGCCCGUAACACAUGAUACAUUUAGCAGCGAUUUGGUCACUGCUGAGCUAUCUUCAUUUAAUGUGGUUUUGACAGAAUAGUUGGCCUGGAAAUUUUAUUUUCAAUUAAACUUCCUUGUUGAACUGCUUUGGUUUUGAAAGGAUUCCAUUAGGAUGGAUAAUUAUAUAGCAGUUGCUUCAAGGAGAUAUUUGCACUCAAUUUCCGCUCGUAGGUGAUUCAAAUCAAAUGCUUUUUCUUUUCCUCCCCAGAGCUGUUUCUGACCAUCUUCCCCAUACUACAGGCUUCUCAUGAGGUAUUUUUGGAAAUCCAAAUCAAAACAGCAAUUUUGGCGGAGGCCAUUUCUAGCUUAGCAGAGAAGCCGUAUGUACCGAUAAAAACAGCCAAAGAAUUGGUACCUUUAAAAAGCACCAAAAUCAUCUCCCUUCCUGGGGGCUAAAUUUGGGGAACCACAGACUAUCCUUUGUGCUAUCAUAUAUUUCUUUGUGAACUCUAAAGUCAAAGACAUGAAAUUCCUUUAAAGUUACCAAAGUUUUGGGGGGUCCGGGUAGCUCAGUCAGUUGAGCGUCUGACUCUUGGUUUUGGCUCAGGGCAUGAUCUCAGGGUCAUGGGAUCAAGCCCUGCCUUCAGCUCCACACUCAGCGUGGAGUCUGCUUGGAAAGCUCCCUCUCCCUCUGCCCCUCCCCCCGCUCAUGUACUCUCUCUCUUAAAUAAAAAUAAAGUCUUUUUUAAAAAUUUAAAAAUUUAAAAAAUCAAAGUUUUGUCCAAUUGCAAACUAUUGUCAUCAUCCUUUUGUUCAAGAUGGCAGGCCUUGACAGAAUUUUACCAAGGAAUGUUUUGGCCUCUGGAUCUCCCAUGAAACACAGAAAUCCCUUUACUUUCCCACACUGUACUGUUUCCUUCCUUCCCCAGAGCACAUGUGACCUACCUGAUUAUAUGACCCAAGCAGACAAACCUUCCUCUCACUCUUUAGCAGUACAUGCAAAUAGUAGGACGGACACAUAGAUAAAUGAAUAAAAUCCUAUUUUGCUCUUUUUUGAAAAAAAAAUCAUUUAUUACAUAACUAGUAAAUAUUUUCACCUUGAAAAAAAGAAAACUUUCCAAAUAAAGCUCAAGUUCUUUUCAACCACUGGGUCCCUAUCCUUGUUUCUUCAACUCUACUUGGGUUAUUACUUUAGAACCCAUCCUUGAAGACCUUUCUAAUGUAAGUAUGUGC